This 474-nucleotide ribosomal RNA is filed under the name uncultured bacterium. RNAcentral describes it as "bacterial SSU rRNA". It matches the Rfam family "Bacterial small subunit ribosomal RNA", at positions 335 to 799 of the family's 1533-position model. The record is from RNAcentral.
ACUCCUACGGGAGGCAGCAGUAGGGAAUCUUCCACAAUGGGCGAAAGCCUGAUGGAGCAACGCCGCGUGGGUGAAGAAGGUCUUCGGAUCGUAAAACCCUGUUGUUAGAGAAGAAAGUGCGUGAGAGUAACUGUUCACGUUUCGACGGUAUCUAACCAGAAAGCCGCGGCUAACUACGUGCCAGCAGCCGCGGUAAUACGUAGGUGGCAAGCGUUAUCCGGAUUUAUUGGGCGUAAAGGGAACGCAGGCGGUCUUUUAAGUCUGAUGUGAAAGCCUUCGGCUUAACCGGAGUAGUGCAUUGGAAACUGGGAGACUUGAGUGCAGAAGAGGAGAGUGGAACUCCAUGUGUAGCGGUGAAAUGCGUAGAUAUAUGGAAGAACACCAGUGGCGAAAGCGGCUCUCUGGUCUGUAACUGACGCUGAGGUUCGAAAGCGUGGGUAGCAAACAGGAUUAGAUACCCCUGGUAGGAUAGCG